AAGAAAAAAAGUGAGGACACGUAUUACGUCUAUAUAUAUAUAUACACACACAAUUUUAAAGGCUUGAUCUUGAACAUGAACGGUUCGAAUAUCGUUUCUCGAAUCCGAAGCCUUUUCUUUUUUUUUUAAUAAUCCGACCAGGAAACGAGCUCCAAGCCGAAAUUUCCGAUGCCGAAACAAGCUUGAGUUAUCGGUGAAUUCAAGAUCCGUGGCGGAGACUGACAUUCAUUUCGCCGUGAAGCAGCGGUUUCUUCCCAGAACUCUCUUUCACAACAAUCCUACCAAUAAAUUCCUCACCCGUCCAAUCCUCUCCAUCAUUUGCUGCAAAUUCGUCGUCGACCACCAGGAAUUCCUCAGCUGUCCAAUUCUCUCGAUCAUUUGCUGCAAAUUCGCCGUCGAACACCAUGAUUUCAACGACGGAUCUUUCCCGCCAACCUCGACGGCCAUACGCGGCGGUUGACUUUCAACAUUCGGAUAGUCGCCGCGGUUAUUGAUUUCAUCGGGGUGCUCGAUGGAAAAUUUGCAGCAGGUGAUCGAGAGGAUUGGACGGCUGAGGAAUUCAGUGCUAGCAUUGUGAAAGAGAGGUCUGCAAAGAGGCGGCUGCUCCACGGGUCAAAUGAAUGUAACAUUUUGCUACUGCGCCGCAACCAUUGGGGGUCUUGGAUUCACCGAUAAAUCAGACUGGAUUCGGAAAAGAAAUUUCAGCUUGGAGUCCGAAUUGUUUCAGGUCCAAUCUUCAAAAAGGCCCCGGAUUCAGGAAGCCAUAACUGAACCAAUCAUGGUCAAAUACCAAAAUCUUUUCCAAAAAUAAAAUAUCUGAUUGGCUGACGGUGGGAUGGGAACCAAUUAUCGGAAACCAAAUCAAUUUUGAUGUAUUUUUUGCUUUCCAGGAUUCGAAUUCUCUUCUGUACGUUUUCUUGCGAUGAUAUUCUCUGGUACUCACUCACCGGAGGAUAAACUUCGCUUCCGCUAAGAUGUUCAGCUACUUGGCCUUGUCCCCUGUGCAUUCAACGUUCUAGCGAUUGAGAGAAGAUGUCGACAGCUAAAGAAAGAGAAGGACAUAGCAAUAGAUUCUCGGCCUAAAAGCUUUCCACUGAUAAGGGCAAG
Molecule: long non-coding RNA, 1107 nt
Organism: Cucumis melo (muskmelon)
Lineage: Eukaryota; Viridiplantae; Streptophyta; Magnoliopsida; Cucurbitales; Cucurbitaceae
Exons: 3
Source: RefSeq, a predicted model, not a curated record